CCGGGUUUCACACUGGCAAGGCAGGAGGCUGUGUGCUGCCAGAACGACCAGCAGGGGGCGCAAAGGCCACGCCAGGCACCUGCUGGCCUCAGAGAAAACAGAAAGGGAACCAGGAAGCCCACUCCUGCUGUCCUUUCUCUGCAAGGAAAUGUGCCAGGGCACUGCAGCCCAGACAGUCGGCAGUAGAGGACCCAUGAAGUAUCUUUGUGCAAAGAAAGCAGCAAAGAGAAUUAAGAGAAUUGCAUCAUAUAAAGAGUGAAUUAAACCAUCUAAAGGAGCAAAAAUUCAUCAUCACAUGGACAAGAAAUUAAGACCAGCUGGAAACCUAGGAGCAGAAGCCCAGCAUAAAGAUCUCUGAAAGCCUGGAUGCGUGGAUUCCUCUCUUACUUCCCAAAACGGUGGGGUGGAAAUGUGAAUAUCAGCAUGAUGCACAGAUCUCUGCAGAUGUCCAGCGAACUGAAUUUCUAGACGCUAUAAUCUAUGUUCUUUCCCAACCCCCACUUCAGUUUACAUAUCGCAGGCCAUAGAUCCUGUUUGUUGAAAAGCGAUCAGCUAGAAAACAAGAGUGGUUAUAACCUGUGCUGCCCAGUGAUCAGGAAAAGAGAGCGGAUGAAACUUCCAUGACUUUCUGUUAGUCUGAUUAAUAUCCAUGCCAAAUGUAAGAUUAGUUAAAAGGCCUUAUUGCUUCCCACCAAAAUGUUCCUUCACUAGCUAUAUACUACACUGAAAUGUAAAGUUAUGGGUAUGUUUAACAGUUUAAUUUGUCAGUGGGCAUCCAACUCUUCUAUUUGUGUUUUUACUUUGAGCUUAAUUGGAGCAGACAAAUAGAGGUGACCUCUAACUGUUUUCUUCCUGAAGCCAUUUUCAGGGCAGAAGUGCUUUACCCACUUCAUUGAGAAACCACCUUUGCAUGCAGUACCCUGAGCUGUCUUCAGCACACCAAGCAUCCACAACAUGGGAAAUACCGUGCUUUAAAUGUUGCUUUAAUCACAGUGCUCAUGAGUAAGGGCAUGUCCUGUCUCUUAUCCAUGAAAACACUCCCACAAAAUGAAGUCACACCCAGUAUCUGUUAACGGAGAUACUGAGUGGGUGAAGAAGACUCAUUCCCUAAUGCAAUUCAGGUCACACAGGGUAAAAAAGAAAAAAAAAUCCUUUUCUGUUGAGGAUACAGAUGGAGAGAAAAUGGAAAAUGCCUUUCAGGAAGCACAAGCCUAGUUUUCUAAUUGUGUUUCAGUGAACACGCAGGUGAACUUACCUGUGUGGCUUGGUAUUGUGGUGGGUUUUCAGCUUCUUCUCCACCAAAUCCUUUGAAAAGCAGCAGUGGCAGAAACAAAUAACCCAAUUAAAAACAAUAAUAGCAACAAUAAAAAAAGAAAAGAUGAAGAAAGCAGUGGUUUUCUUUGGCUAGCUGAGGAACUUUCUACUAGGCGUUAGCAAUCUCUUUGUAAACUUUUUUCUUUACAGCAAAUGCUUCAUUCUCUAGACACAUGUCAAGAAUUUUCAAGCAUCGCCAGACUCAAUUCUUCACCCCCAUGUUAACAAUUAAAGAAUCAGCCGAAUGCCUGUGUUUAAGAAUCAAGCCCCUGAAACCUGUGAUUUGUACGUUACUCACACCCUCUAGUCCUAUUAGCAAGAGAUGCUGGGAGAACUUCUUGGUCAUCAAUUUGAUGAGUUCCAAGGGGAAUGUGGGUUUUGGUUGUGAUGUUCAUACACAUAGAAAUCUGGCUGAACACACGUACCUAAG
Molecule: long non-coding RNA, 1744 nt
Filed under: Homo sapiens (human)
Lineage: Eukaryota; Metazoa; Chordata; Mammalia; Primates; Hominidae
Description: non-protein coding LINC02372:18
Source: RNAcentral